UCAACAUCAUGGACUGCAGGACAACACUGCUGCUGUUAGCUUUCUGCUGGACAGGUGUAGCUGGUCAGACUCUGACAGAAUCUGAACCAGUGGUUAAAAGACCAGGAGAAUCCCACACCCUGACUUGUACAGCCUCUGGAUUCACAUUCAGCGACUAUGACAUGAACUGGAUCAGACAGGCUCCUGGAAAAGGACUGGAAUGGGUUGCUUAUGUCAGUAGUGGUGGUUUCAGCACAUAUUAUUCUCAGUCAGUCCAAGACAGGUUUACCAUCUCCAGAGACAACAGCAAACAACAGGUCUAUCUGCAGAUGAACAGUCUGAAAACAGAAGAUUCUGCUGUUUAUUACUGUGCUCGAAGAGACACAGUGAAUGAAGUACGUUCAGCAGCUGUACAAAAACCUCAAGUCACCUGAGAGUUAUCUGGUUGAUACUUGUAUUCUCUGUGAGGAUUGUAAGGCUUACAGUGAUGCACUUGCAGAAACACUUUACCCUGAUAGUAAGUGAUAGAAAAUAUACAUUUUCUAUCACUGUCCCACCAUCAAGAAUAUUAUAUCUAUUGUAAAUAAAUAAACUCUGCGUAUCUACGAGAUGUUUUUCAUUCAAUCUUCUGUUUGCAGAUGGGCUGAGGCCUUUUAAAACUUCUAUUUAAAACAAAUCCAGACACUGUUGCUAGUAAAAUCUCUGGUCAAUGUUUGCAUGUUAAAAUUGU
This is a non-coding RNA of Fundulus heteroclitus (mummichog), 709 nucleotides long. The record is from the annotation of a RefSeq genome assembly. NCBI's taxonomy places the organism in Eukaryota, Metazoa, Chordata, Actinopteri, Cyprinodontiformes, Fundulidae.